RNAcentral lists this ribosomal RNA (253 nucleotides) under uncultured bacterium. RNAcentral's name for it is "partial 16S ribosomal RNA". It matches the Rfam family "Bacterial small subunit ribosomal RNA", at positions 524 to 776 of the family's 1533-position model. The record is from RNAcentral.
UACGUAGGGGGCAAGCGUUGUCCGGAUUCAUUGGGCGUAAAGAGCGUGUAGGCGGCCAGGUAGGUCGGUUGUGAAAACUGGAGGCUCAACCUUCAGAGGUCGACCGAAACCAUCUGGCUAGAGUCCGGAAGAGGCGAGUGGAACUCCUGGUGUAGCGGUGGAAUGCGCAGAUAUCAGGAAGAACACCAACGGCGAAGGCAGCUCGCUGGGACGGAACUGACGCUGAGGCGCGACAGCGUGGGGAGCAAACAGG